AUGCAGCGUCCCCGGGAGACCGCUGCUCCAGCCCGCGACCUGGCCCUUCUUGGGAAACGCGUCUCGGGCCGUCCAGUCGGGAUGAAGAAGGACGCCUUGUCCUCCGAGGAAGCUCUGAGGAUGCUGGCUUCCUUGGAUUGCUGGCUCGCUUGUGUCCAACGUGGACUUGAGCGGCUCUCAGCCCCUGGCUGUCAGAGGGGCCCGGGGCGUCGCUGGCCUCCCCGCAUCUGUGAGGGUGGUGACAGAGAGGCGGUGCGGCCGCGGGUGGAGGAAGAGAGGAGCCCAGAGGCUCAGCAGCUGUGCCCACCAGGGAUCGUGCGUCCCCAGCGUCCGGCCGCUGGUCUUUGCGGGAGGCAGUCGCUGUUCUCCAGAAGAGUCCCGCACUCUGCCAGCCGCAAAGUGAAGGGCUGGUCGGCGGGGUCUGGGAGUCGAACCGGUCCUGACGGCUCCUGGUUCUGGCAGUUUUGGAAGCUCCUGAGGGGUCACCCCUGAGAGUUGGGUUGGACUUCAGCUUCCUCGCUCGGCUUUGCUAAGUCGAUCACGACUCAUUCAUUUAUUCUCCAGCUUCUAAAAUUAUGCUGCUCCUUUCCCCUCUACCCUUUUCUUUCCUUCAUUAUUUCACGUUGCAAGAAGAGGGAGAAAAGGAAAGAGAUAGAAACAAAAAGGAAAACCUGUUUAGGGCAUUUCUGGGGCUGGGACACAGCGGUUGCAGGCACAGGACCCUACCCUGUGCCUCUCUCAUGGGUCACACAGCGCAACUUGAACGUCGCCCCUUCUGCGGGGUCCUCCCUGACCGCCCGAGGACAGCAGGUCCCCGUGGCCUUCUGUCGGGAGCACUAAGCUGCCUGAGAAGGGAACCCCGUCUCCUGGUCCACACCGCGUCCACCGAACCUGGGCCACGUGGGACGCCCCAUCACCGCUUUCGGAGCAACACGUGGAACAUCAAACGCGUUUCAUUCUGGUGAGCCGUGUACCUCGAGCAAAAGAUGCGCAAAGACGGAGCGGGCACGCAGAGGGCAAGGCGGAGUCUGCGUGCGGGUCUCGCCCAGGAUGAGCGCCAGGAGCUCACUGCACGGAGGAGGAGCAGAGCUGCGGGGAGCCGGGGAAGCCGAGUCCUUGACGGCGGCUGAAGGAGACCCGCCCCACCCGCGGGGAGCCAGGGGAGCGGGAGCACAGCAGGGCCUGCGGGCGCCCUGCCUCCUGCCUUGCUGCGAAGAGGAGAGCGGAGCGGGGAAAUAAACCAGUGCAGUAGCCAGGACGCUGGGAAGCGCGGCUCUGCGGCAGUUGUGCCAGGACAGGCGCGCUACCUGUGCAGCCCAAGCUGCCACGGCCCGUGUAGGUUCCAGGAACGCUCAUCCUCACCAACCGGGGACAUUUCAGGUGACGCUCGCAACGCUGGUGUGCUUUGGAGUUUUGUGUGACCUUUAUUAAAACAAAAACAAACAAGCAAAACAGUUGCAGGUGUUUACUGUGACAUGUUCAGAC
This 1485-nucleotide long non-coding RNA is filed under the name Fukomys damarensis (Damara mole-rat). RNAcentral's name for it is "lncRNA (ENSFDAG00000025903.1)". The record is from RNAcentral. Lineage: Eukaryota; Metazoa; Chordata; Mammalia; Rodentia; Bathyergidae.